UGCAAACUGGAGAUGGCGACCGGCGCACGGGUGAGUAACACGUAUCCAACCUGCCGAUAACUCGGGGAUAGCCUUUCGAAAGAAAGAUUAAUACCCGAUGGUAUAAUCAGACCGCAUGGUCUUGUUAUUAAAGAAUUUCGGUUAUCGAUGGGGAUGCGUUCCAUUAGGCAGUUGGUGAGGUAACGGCUCACCAAACCUUCGAUGGAUAGGGGUUCUGAGAGGAAGGUCCCCCACAUUGGAACUGAGACACGGUCCAAACUCCUACGGGAGGCAGCAGUGAGGAAUAUUGGUCAAUGGGCGCAGGCCUGAACCAGCCAAGUAGCGUGAAGGAUGACUGCCCUAUGGGUUGUAAACUUCUUUUAUAUGGGAAUAAAGUUUUCCACGUGUGGAAUUUUGUAUGUACCAUAUGAAUAAGGAUCGGCUAACUCCGUGCCAGCAGCCGCGGUAAUACGGAGGAUCCGAGCGUUAUCCGGAUUUAUUGGGUUUAAAGGGAGCGUAGGUGGACAGUUAAGUCAGUUGUGAAAGUUUGCGGCUCAACCGUAAAAUUGCAGUUGAUACUGGCUGUCUUGAGUACAGUAGAGGUGGGCGGAAUUCGUGGUGUAGCGGUGAAAUGCUUAGAUAUCACGAAGAACUCCGAUUGCGAAGGCAGCUCACUGGACUGCAACUGACACUGAUGCUCGAAAGUGUGGGUAUCAAACAGGAUUAGAUACCCUGGUAGUCCACACAGUAAACGAUGAAUACUCGCUGUUUGCGAUAUACAGUAAGCGGCCAAGCGAAAGCAUUAAGUAUUCCAC
Molecule: ribosomal RNA, 794 nt
Filed under: Bacteroides thetaiotaomicron
Lineage: Bacteria; Pseudomonadati; Bacteroidota; Bacteroidia; Bacteroidales; Bacteroidaceae
Description: bacterial SSU rRNA
Rfam family: Bacterial small subunit ribosomal RNA
Source: RNAcentral